UGCCAGCAGCCGCGGUAAUACAGAGGGUGCAAGCGUUAAUCGGAAUUACUGGGCGUAAAGGGUGCGUAGGUGGUAUGUUAAGUCAGAUGUGAAAUCCCCGGGCUCAACCUGGGAACUGCAUUUGAAACUAGCAAACUAGAGUAUGGUAGAGGGAAGUGGAAUUUCCGGUGUAGCGGUGAAAUGCGUAGAUAUCGGAAGGAACACCAGUGGCGAAGGCGGCUUCCUGGACCAUAACUGACACUGAGGCACGAAAGCGUGGGGAGCAAACAGGAUUAGAUA
RNAcentral lists this ribosomal RNA (279 nucleotides) under uncultured bacterium. RNAcentral describes it as "partial 16S ribosomal RNA". It matches the Rfam family "Bacterial small subunit ribosomal RNA", at positions 506 to 784 of the family's 1533-position model. The record is from RNAcentral.